GACGAACGCUGGCGGCGUGCUUAACACAUGCAAGUCGAACGGAAAGGCCCUGCUUUUGUGGGGUGCUCGAGUGGCGAACGGGUGAGUAACACGUGAGUAACCUGCCCUUGACUUUGGGAUAACUUCAGGAGACUGGGGCUAAUACCGGAUAGGAGCUCCUGCUGCAUGGGGGGGGUUGGAAAGUUUCGGCGGUUGGGGAUGGACUCGCGGCUUAUCAGCUUGUUGGUGGGGUAGUGGCUUACCAAGGCUUUGACGGGUAGCCGGCCUGAGAGGGUGGCCGGCCACAUUGGGCCUGCGAUACGGCCCAGACUCCUACGGGAGGCAGCAGUGGGGAAUAUUGCACAAUGGGCGGAAGCCUGAUGCAGCAACGCCGCGUGCGGGAUGACGGCCUUCGGGUUGUAAACCGCUUUCGCCUGUGACGAAGCGUGAGUGACGGUAAUGGGUAAAGAAGCACCGGCUAACUACGUG
RNAcentral lists this ribosomal RNA (468 nucleotides) under uncultured bacterium. Its description in RNAcentral is "partial 16S ribosomal RNA". It matches the Rfam family "Bacterial small subunit ribosomal RNA", at positions 28 to 507 of the family's 1533-position model. The record is from RNAcentral.